CAAAAAAAAAAAAAGUUUUGAGGGUUGUUUUCUUUUUUCAAUUGAAGAAACUUAUUUUAUUUUUUGAUUCAUAUAACAUAUGAAUGUAAUGAUAAAUGGGUGACUAUGGGUCAGCGAAAAGCAAAUCUGUUCUUGUGUGGCCCCAGCUACUGCCUUCGGUUUCCCCUACUUGUAAGGAAAGCUUUGGAAAGUUGUAAGGAACGAAAGUUAUUCUAUUUCUAUGGAAAAGGCAGUGCAAAGUCCAGUGUUUUCAACAUUUUCAUUAACUUUGAAAGAAGAGCUAGCUUAAUGUAGAUGCCUGGUUUUAGGUAGCCAAAUAUUUUAGCAAUUCCAAAUAUUUUUAGGACACUGGCAUCCCUUGGCCUUCUCUGCAGCUUCUUUCACCAGAAACCUGCGUUAGCAGUGGCAGCACUGAGUGGCCAGAGCUGGAGCUUUCCUCGUGAGACAGCCAAGCAGGAGCCCCAGCGCUGGUCAUCAGAUGUGGUGGCAGAAGAGGUCUCUGCACAGCUCGGUCUUAAUCCAUGAAGGUCGAACAGGUUUAACCCACCAACAGCUUAACUGUAGGAGCUGCUCUUCUGUACGUCCCGACAGCCUUCAUUACGAGAUGCAGGAGCUGGACAGCAAGAAGUUUUUCAGCAGUGAAGCAGACUCAGAAUUCGCUAUGAAGAUGAUUAAUCCAGCUUACUGAAUCAUGCACUGAGACGAGCCAGAAGGAAGGAAAAUGGCAGAAAAGGAAAUUAUGCAACCUGAUUAGCAAACAAGUUAGCCGAGAAGUUACCCACCGAGGUUUCAGCUCAAAGACACAAGGCUUCCCAGUGCCUAACGCAGCACAGGAGUCCGCAGGCCUGGCAGUGGACAUUUUGCCUUUGCUGAUCUGCAGGGAGCCACCUGCCCAGUCUCCCCAAACACCUCCAUCAAUCUGCCACACGGCCAAACUGCCAAUUACCACUUAUUUUCUCUGUGGCAGGUGGCGGUAGCCAGGUGACAGGGAUGGGAGGCCUCCACAGCAUCGUUCAUCACCUGUCUUAGGAGAACAUUUCAGUGAGCACACCACAUUAGGUUAAAAAUGUAAAUGUUGCCUUGAGCUGGGUUAAUGAAAUAAAGCCAACCUGAUUUUCCGGCAGUUGGUGUAGAUUGCAUGGUUGGGCAAAGGUGUCUGAGUAGAGUAUUGAUUACAUUGAUUGCACUUCAGAAUUUUCUUGGAAGACUGCUGUCAAAAUAUUGUUCCUCGGGAACUUGAUCCACCUGCCUCAAUUUAUCUUAGCAUAUUUUUAAUGUUCAAACUACUUACUUCCCUCCAUUCUUGCCUUGAGGAUGCUAUACACACACACACCAAUAAUAGCAUUUAGUCGUGCUGAUGGAUGUGCUCCUGUACUUGAACAGUUUUGUGUUUGGGGGUUACUGCUGCAGCCUGGUUGGAGAGGAGACCAGGAGGGCUGAGGGGAUGCUACAAACAGCAUCUUAGUGUGGAGCCAAGAGAUCUGGAACCUGACGUGGCCCUCUGUGUGUCCAACAGGGAUCGGCUCUGUAGGGUGCACUUGAGGGUGGUCUCCAAGGACUUCACAGCCAAAGCAACACUGAGGAGCCCAGCCUGGCUUGGUGGCUCCCCAUGUGGGGCAACUGCCAGAGGCGGAGGCUGUGCCCUGAGUCCUGCCCCCAACCUUCCUCCCAGUAGUUAAAGAAGACCACAGAACAAAAUGACCCCUCUGUUGCAGGGGAAGGCCCAGGUGUGCACCAGGCAGAGCCCUGUGACACCACAGUGGCCCCCACACAUCGUCCAUCCCUAAGGGUCUGUGUGGCUGCAGUGGCACCAGCUUUGGUCUGUGCUUCCCAGCACCCAGCAAGGAGAGAGUGGGGGCUGACAGCAUUCAAAUAGAAAUUAGAGAGCCAAAAAAUAUGUGUAAGCAAACUUCAACCUGACCACUGCUUCUAGAGGAAGGUCCAGUGGCAUGUGUAAGAUUAAAGGACUUACGAGUUCAUAUAGCACCAACAUUUCUGUUGUCUAAAUUAGCUGUUGGACUAUAAUGGUAUUUGCAGGCUUACAUAUAGAAUAUAUUUGUCUUUUCUUAUUCACCUUGUAUGUGCUAGUCACUGGUCAUUGGUGUGAAGCUCCUGCUUUGUUGCACUUCUUUUGCAGGAAGAAAAAUCCAUUGAUCGUAUGUUGGCUCUGAGUGAACACAACUUUGUGGAAAACAGUUUUCCUGUCAGACUGUGUUUGUGUCCCAAAACCCACUUACAGGUUUUUAACACAUUUCCCGUUGUUAUGUCACGUAAAUGACAAGUGAAGCACGUUGGUUUUAUGCCCUUUAAUGGUUUAUCUUUAUUUUCAUCUUUGCAGUGUCUGUACGUGGUGUUCCUGGCCUGGCUCUUACAUCCCCCGUGUGGGAGCACAAGUACUGGGAGCAUGCCCUCCGCACACCUUGUACCUGGAAGUACAUCAUUGCCUGGUAUGGCCAAGCUGAGACGGGACCUGUGAGCCUCAUCCUUCUCUGGAAUAAGUCUUUCCAAGACAGGGAGAUAGCUAAGCAGUAGGAAUACUGCUAAGUUAACAUCUGGUGUCUAACAUCAUAGUUCCGACACAAGCUCAAACAUCGACUUUAAAAACAAAACAAAUAAACAUAAACAUAAACUGUGAACCCUACAGCCUGCUGGCUUUGUUCUCUACUUGAUGAAAACAUCAAGCACUCAGCCAAGUCCCUCGGGAAGAUGCUGGGCUCUUGGGAGCUUCCCUGGCAUUAGGGGCCCUGCAGGGAACGCGGCGCUCCGAGCCUGUGCACUGCAGUGCUGACACCCAUGGUGGGGCCGGCAGGGCUGUAGCGGAGGCUGUCUGAGUGCCAUCUUAGCACAAAGCAGAAACAAAGGGUGAGACUGCCAAGCAGUUUUUAUGACCGUGUCCUCGGUGUGAUGCUCAGCCUGAGCGCUGCUGGGCUGCCAUAGCAACUUGUACAGCUCUGGGUGCUGCUCCUCGGGGCUUGCUUCGGCUGCCACUGGCAUGGGUGGAGAUGCUCCUUUUUAAAACCACCCUUGUAUGUCACCAUUGAAAUAAAUGAAGGCAGCAAAAGAAAAAGAAAAAAAUAAAAAUGAAAUAGUUUUCAUUUUCAAACUGUGGGAAAAAAAAAAAAAAAAAAAAAGGAUGAACUUUUAUCUAGUUUAGCCAUGAGGACCUACACAAGAGCCAUGGUCAAGAUUACUGUUAUCCUUGCUGAACUUUGACCAAGCCCUGCUAAAGACAUUUGUAAUCGUUUAGCCUGGUGUCCCGGUGGUGCUCAUCACUUGUGUUGAACAGCACAUCUGUAACCCUGUAUGCCUCCAACUGAGGCUAGGAGUGCCGAAUCCAUGCACAAGCUCCUGCAGCUCUGCCUCCUGCUGCAUGGUCCUGCCCCAGCACAGCCUUCAGCAAGGCAUCUGUACCCUCCGAGGGGUUUGCCCAGCCCUGCCCAGAACAGUAUUGGGAUCAAGCAGAAUGACAAUGUUAAGAAGCAAAGUGAUAAAAGUGAUACAUGUAUAUUUUUAAAGCACAUUUUUGUUUUGAGUAAAAUACAUUGCCAGAGUCACAAGCAAUUACUGCUGGAAUGCCAACAGGUUUGUCCCUCCUUAGAGUACAGAUGCAAAAUUAACUCUCGCAUGUUUUCAACUCUAUACUUAAUGUUUUGACUCAUUCAAGUAAGAAGGAAGAGAGGAAUUUUAAUGUGGCCUAAAGCAAGUGCUCUGGCUGAACUCCUAUCAUCUACAAUUGCUCCGGGUAAUGGUGACACUGGAAAUGAAGUGUUAUUUCUGCAGCCUUUGUGCUUUGCUUCAUUAGACAUUACCUCGCCAAAAAUCAUCCCCACCCCACUUAGCAGAGAUGAGAUGCUGAAGAAUACCUCAGGGAGAACCACUUUUAAACUGUAAUCCUGGAAAUGCUUAUGGCUGAGAUACCCCAGUGAAAAACAUGUAUGACUCACAGAGUUACACAAGCACAUUUAGUUCUGGAAAAGAGCUGUAGCUUUUCCAGAACAUCCACUACAGGUCUUAACAGGCGCUCAAGAGACCUUUCAUGUGUCCAGAAUAUCACGUAAUGUAGUGAAUAAUAAAGGUUCUGUGUAUGCUUCUGAAUAUAUUUAGCAACCAUUUUGUUAGACAAGAAAGGGAUGUUACCAGCAGUCUUAGUUCUCUGCUUCCCUUGGGGCUUGUUUCUUUCUGCAUGGUACCCAUCAUUAAAGGUGGCAAGGAACCCAUCUGCAGAACCUCCUGUCUGCUGCUCAGAUAUGAAGGUUCAAUUUUAUAUUUUUAGGGCUUCACAAUAGUCUGUCUGUCUUAGACAGAUCAUUUAUCUUCCCCCUCUGCCAUGAGAUACAAAAUCGUUAAUGAUUUGGGGACCAAUUUUCAAAAAAACCUAAUGCAGUUACUGCCCUGGUUGACCUCAGCAAGCUCUUCAGGUAUUCAGUACCCUUGAUGAUAAUGCCAGUCAGUGGUAUUACAGCAUAGAAAAAACAUAAUUAUUCAACCAAAUUAAUUCACAGUAAAAUAAUAGACUUCAAAAAAUGUUCAUAGAAGUAAAAAUAUGUUUUGAUUUCUAAUUUUUAUGACUUUAUCAAGUGCCAGAAAGAAACACAGUCUAUUGUCCAGAAAUAAUUUAUUCAUCAACAAUAAAACACUGAAUAGAAAAAAGCCUUGUAAAUAAAACUAUAUAUAUAAUGCUUUAUUUUUUUAUUCAAUACUCCACAAAAAACACUACAGACAGUAACAAAAUAAU
Non-coding RNA from Anas platyrhynchos (mallard), 4735 nucleotides. Lineage: Eukaryota; Metazoa; Chordata; Aves; Anseriformes; Anatidae. The record is from RefSeq and is a predicted model, not a curated record.